This 447-nucleotide ribosomal RNA is filed under the name uncultured bacterium. RNAcentral describes it as "bacterial SSU rRNA". It matches the Rfam family "Bacterial small subunit ribosomal RNA", at positions 355 to 825 of the family's 1533-position model. The record is from RNAcentral.
UGGGGAAUCUUGGACAAUGGGCGCAAGCCUGAUCCAGCCAUGCCGCGUGGAUGAUGAAGGCCUUAGGGUUGUAAAAUCCUUUCGUUGGGGACGAUAAUGACGGUACCCAAAGAAGAAGCUCCGGCUAACUUCGUGCCAGCAGCCGCGGUAAUACGAAGGGGGCUAGCGUUGUUCGGAUUUACUGGGCGUAAAGCGCGUGUAGGCGGACUUGUAAGUUGGGGGUGAAAUCCCGAGGCUCAACCUCGGAACUGCCUCCAAAACUACAAAUCUGGACCUAAGUAGAGGCAAGUGGAAUUGCGAGUGUAGAGGUGAAAUUCGUAGAUAUUCGCAGGAACACCAGUGGCGAAGGCGACUUGCUGGACUUAUGGUGACGCUGAGACGCGAAAGCGUGGGGAGCAAACAGGAUUAGAUACCCUUGUAGUCCCUGAGCGGGCUGGCAAGGCGCAU